AUAGAAUGGACUGAGGUGCAACCGUUGCUUGACCUGGGGAAGGUGAAUGUUCUUACUCACAGCAGUUUUCAGCAGACAAUCAAGACUAAGACAAGGACCUGCCUCCAAGAGUUGUAAAGAUGAGGAAAUGUGUGGUCUCCGUGCGUGAAGCAAUACAUGCUGAAAAUAACUGCAUUCAAAGAGCUGCUGAGAUGAGAGGAGAACUCAUGAGAACUCAAAGGAGGCAGAGGACAAGAUUAAAGCCAAGUGUUCUGAGGAGCACACUUUGUGAGGGCUGCCUUAGGAAAAGCCAGGGACACCAAGUGUGGUCAUCCGACCCAGAAGGGAAGAGCAGGGCUCUGAACAGGACCUGAACAGGAGCUAAGCCACAGGUGAGCAGCAAGGUCUGAA
Molecule: long non-coding RNA, 390 nt
Filed under: Homo sapiens (human)
Lineage: Eukaryota; Metazoa; Chordata; Mammalia; Primates; Hominidae
Description: HSALNT0027818
Source: RNAcentral